This 362-nucleotide long non-coding RNA is filed under the name Selaginella moellendorffii. RNAcentral's name for it is "long non-coding RNA (SMOE_LNC000397)". The record is from RNAcentral. Lineage: Eukaryota; Viridiplantae; Streptophyta; Lycopodiopsida; Selaginellales; Selaginellaceae.
UGGGAAGCCGGCCGGAUGUUUAUUAAUAUUUUGUGUUAAGGGGUAACAUAGAUCUUAGCGCUACAAAUGCGUGGUUUUAGGUGCAGAAGCUAGCGUUGCACUUCUUGCUCAUGUCCUUGAUAGUGUCGAUCUCCAGUGUUCCGCAUUCACAUCCAUCGAGCUUGCCAAACAGUGAGCAACAAUCAGAGCUGCCAGAAGGGGUGCUGCACGCUGCAAGUUUUGCCUGGACUCUAUUUGCUUCACACAGCUUCAAAGUGGGGCUUCCACCAACAUCCAUGUGGCUUCCUUCGCUGCCGUCGCCAUUGAUGAGAGAAAAGAGAGUGAGCAGGAGCAAGAGUGGAAAAAAAAGCUUGUGAAUUGCC